Molecule: ribosomal RNA, 485 nt
Filed under: uncultured bacterium
Lineage: Bacteria
Description: partial 16S ribosomal RNA
Rfam family: Bacterial small subunit ribosomal RNA
Source: RNAcentral
ACUCAAAGGAAUUGACGGGGACCCGCACAAGCAGAGGAUGAUGUGGUUUAAUAUGACGCUACGCGUAGAACCUUACCAAGGCUUGACAUCCUGGGAAUCUUUAAGAAAUUAGAGAGUGCCUUCGGGAGCCUAGUGACAGGUGCUGCAUGGCCGUCGUCAGCUCGUGUCGUGAGAUGUUGGGUUAAGUCCCGCAACGAGCGCAACCCUUAUCGUAUGUUGUAUUUUUCAUGCGAGACUGCCCGGGCCAACCGGGAGGAAGGUGGGGAUGACGUCAGGUCGGCAUGGCCCUUACGCCUUGGGCUACUCACGUCAUACAAUGGCCAGUACAACGCGCAGCGAAACCGCGAGGUGGAGCAAAUCGCAUCAAAACUGGUCUCAGUUCGGAUUGGAGGCUGCAACUCGCCUCCAUGAAGUCGGAUUUGCUAGUAAACGUGGGUCAGCACACCACGUUGAAUACGUUCCCGGGUCUUGUACACACCGCCCGU